GCACAAAAUAACCCUAAUUCAUCUCAACUCUCUUCGAUAUUUUCAUCUUUCUUCUCCGAUUUUCAUUUUUCUUCUUUAAAUUUCCACUUCGGUUUCAAAUUUCUCACAUUCCUUUCCUUCCGUCCAGUUUCCGGUUUUUACUGCUCUGUUCUGCUGCUCCGCAAUCUACAGUUCUGCAAUUGGUCGUUCUAUUGCUCAGGUUUUCUACUCAACGAUCCAAAAUUCCACAAACCACCAAUUUUAAGAUACACAGUGGUUUCUCCAACUAAAUUGUUGGAUUCAUAACUCUAUUUGUUAGCUGGUGAGUUUUUCCUUAUCCUUGUAGUUGUUUGAUGCAUAAAUAUAUAACAUGGUUUACUUACAAUAAUUAGAAAACGAGGCUUCUUUGUUGGUAGGAUGGGGAUGUUUCGAGUAUUUUCGUUUUUCUUUCUCUUAGUGUUUGGAUUGCAUUAGAUACUUACAAUGUCUAAUGUAUGUAUUCUUAAGUUUCUGGAUGUUCACUAGUUGGUAUUAGUAUAGGUCUGUUUCCUGUGUAUGGACUGAGGUAUUCCAAUUUGGGAAAGAUGCUUAAUUUUGAUUUUGAAUUAUGAUAAGAAAAUUGGUUAGACUUUCGAUUUUGGAGUGGAAGUUAAAACUGUGUAGCUCUUAUGAGUUUUAUAUAUAACUAUAUGUAUCUUAUGUUGUUGUGAGUUUUAUAUAUAACUAGAUGUGUGCCCGUGCGAUGCACGACACAAUAUGGGAUUGAGACUUUUAA
This is a long non-coding RNA of Lathyrus oleraceus (garden pea), 754 nucleotides long. RefSeq lists it as uncharacterized. The transcript has 3 exons. Lineage: Eukaryota; Viridiplantae; Streptophyta; Magnoliopsida; Fabales; Fabaceae. The record is from RefSeq and is a predicted model, not a curated record.